Long non-coding RNA from Brassica napus (rape), 613 nucleotides. RefSeq lists it as uncharacterized. Lineage: Eukaryota; Viridiplantae; Streptophyta; Magnoliopsida; Brassicales; Brassicaceae. The transcript has 2 exons. The record is from RefSeq and is a predicted model, not a curated record.
UGUAUAUAAAGAUAUAUAGAUAUAUAUAUAUAUAUAUAUAUAUAUAUAUAUAUAUAUAUAACUCUUUUUAUAUUUCACUUUAAAAAUGAAUUUUUACUUUACUAGAUCAAAUUACCAUUAAUCAUUUAUUUUUUUGUUUCUUUUUUAACUAGGUAUUGUACAAAUUUUGAAUUUGUGACUUCAUAGAAUUUGAUUUCUUAUUUAUAUCGAUAAAUAUUUUCAAUAAAAUUUAAAAUAAAUGAGUCAAACAUUUUAUCUAUUAAAUAAAUAAAAUUAGAAUUGUGAUUUUUUGGGGUCAAACUAGAUCCUUAUAUUUUGGCAUUUUAAACGCCACUUAACUUAAUUUAGAUAUAUUUAAUUUUGUGAUUGAUCUAUAAAUAUACUUCUUGGUCUUUCUUAAUUGUAAACUAUCAGUUCAUUAUUUAAUUUAUUUUGUCAUAAAAAAAAAUAAGAUGAAAAUUUAUUAUCGAUCAUCGCUUAUUGGUUUCGUCAUGCUCACAAUUCUUCUGCUUGGAGUAGUGGCGAAUGCUCAAAAAGGAGGACUAGUCCGAAAACAAUGUGUUGAACAAUACCCGGACCCAAAUGGAAAAUGUGUAAUCGACCAAUGUAAAGC